Molecule: ribosomal RNA, 252 nt
Filed under: uncultured bacterium
Lineage: Bacteria
Description: partial 16S ribosomal RNA
Rfam family: Bacterial small subunit ribosomal RNA
Source: RNAcentral
UACGUAGGGUGCGAGCGUUAAUCGGAAUUACUGGGCGUAAAGCGUGCGCAGGUGGUCUGCUAAGACAGGUGUGAAAUCCCUGGGCUCAACCUAGGAAUUGCGCUUGUGACUGGCGGGCUAGAGUACGGUAGAGGGGGGUGGAAUUCCUGGUGUAGCAGUGAAAUGCGUAGAGAUCAGGAGGAACACCGAUGGCGAAGGCAGCCCCCUGGGCCUGUACUGACGCUGAAGGCGAAAGCCAGGGGAGCGAACGGG